This 550-nucleotide ribosomal RNA is filed under the name uncultured Glomus. Its description in RNAcentral is "SSU rRNA". It matches the Rfam family "Eukaryotic small subunit ribosomal RNA", at positions 549 to 1098 of the family's 1831-position model. The record is from RNAcentral. Lineage: Eukaryota; Fungi; Glomeromycota; Glomeromycetes; Glomerales; Glomeraceae.
UGGAGGGCAAGUCUGGUGCCAGCAGCCGCGGUAAUUCCAGCUCCAAUAGCGUACAUUAAAGUUGUUGCAGUUAAAAAGCUCGUAGUUGAAUUUCGGGAUCAAUUUGCUGGUCGUGCCUCUGGUACGUACUGGUAUUAUUGGUUUCUCCCUUCUGACGAACCAUGAUGUCAUUAAUUUGAUGUCGUGGAGAAUCAGGACUGUUACUUUGAAAAAAUUAGAGCGUUUAAAGCAGGCAUUAGCUUGAAUACAUUAGCAUGGAAUAAUGAAAUAGGACGUCUGAUCCUAUUUUGUUGGUUUCUAGGAUUGACGUAAUGAUUAAUAGGGAUAGUUGGGGGCAUUAGUAUUCAAUUGUCAGAGGUGAAAUUCUUGGAUUUAUUGAAGACUAACUACUGCGAAAGCAUUUGCCAAGGAUGUUUUCAUUAAUCAAGAACGAAAGUUGGGGGAUCGAAGACGAUCAGAUACCGUCGUAGUCUUAACCAUAAACUAUGCCGACUAGGGAUCAGAUGAUGUUAAUUUUUUUUAAUGACUCAUUCGGCGCCUUACGGGAAAC